CAGUCGCCACGGGAAUACAGAGGGUGCGAGCGUUAAUCGGAUUUACUGGGCGUAAAGCGUGCGUAGGCGGCUUCUUAAGUCGGAUGUGAAAUCCCUGAGCUUAACUUAGGAAUUGCAUUCGAUACUGGGAAGCUAGAGUAUGGGAGAGGAUGGUAGAAUUCCAGGUGUAGCGGUGAAAUGCGUAGAGAUCUGGAGGAAUACCGAUGGCGAAGGCAGCCAUCUGGCCUAAUACUGACGCUGAGGUACGAAAGCAUGGGGAGCAAACAGGAUUAGAUACCCGGGUAGUCCCUGUCUCUUAUAA
RNAcentral lists this ribosomal RNA (301 nucleotides) under uncultured bacterium. RNAcentral's name for it is "partial 16S ribosomal RNA". It matches the Rfam family "Bacterial small subunit ribosomal RNA", at positions 509 to 809 of the family's 1533-position model. The record is from RNAcentral.